Molecule: ribosomal RNA, 240 nt
Filed under: uncultured bacterium
Lineage: Bacteria
Description: partial 16S ribosomal RNA
Rfam family: Bacterial small subunit ribosomal RNA
Source: RNAcentral
UACGUAGGGAGCGAGCGUUGUCCGGAAUUACUGGGUGUAAAGGGAGUGUAGGCGGGAUGGCAAGUUAGGUGUGAAAUGCGGAGGCUCAACCUCCGAGCUGCACUUAAAACUGCUGUUCUUGAGUGAAGUAGAGGCAGGCGGAAUUCCUAGUGUAGCGGUGAAAUGCGUAGAUAUUAGGAGGAACAUCAGUGGCGAAGGCGGCCUGCUGGGCUUUUACUGACGCUGAGGCUCGAAAGCGUG